Molecule: ribosomal RNA, 758 nt
Filed under: uncultured bacterium
Lineage: Bacteria
Description: bacterial SSU rRNA
Rfam family: Bacterial small subunit ribosomal RNA
Source: RNAcentral
UAGAGUUUGAUCCUGGCUCAGGAUGAACGCUUGCGGUAUGCUUAACACAUGCAAGUCGAACGGUGUCUUCGGACAUAGUGGCGGACGGGUGAGUAACGCGUGAUUUUCUAGCUUCAGGUCUGGGACAACCACUGGAAACGGUGGCUAAUACCGGAUGUGCCGGAAGGUGAAAGGCUUGCUGCCUGAAGAUGACCUCGCGUCCGAUUAACUAGUAGGGGGGGUAAAACCCUACCUAGGCAACCAUCGGUAGCUGGUCUGAGAGGAGGGCCAGCCCCACUGGGAUUGAGACGCGGCCCAGACUCCUACGGGAGGCAGCAGUGGGGAAUUUUCCGCAAUGGGCGAAAGCCUGACGGAGCAAUACCGCGUGAGGGAGGAAGGCUCUUGGGUUGUAAACCUCUUUUCUCAGGGAAGAACACAAUGACGGUACCUGAGGAAUCAGCAUCGGCUAACUCCGUGCCAGCAGCCGCGGUAAUACGGAGGAUGCAAGCGUUAUCCGGAAUGAUUGGGCGUAAAGCGUCCGCAGGUGGCUGUGUAAGUCUGCUGUCAAAGAGCAAAGCUCAACUUUGUAAAGGCAGUGGAAACUACACGGCUAGAGUGCGUUCGGGGCAGAGGGAAUUCCUGGUGUAGCGGUGAAAUGCGUAGAGAUCAGGAAGAACACCGGUGGCGAAGGCGCUCUGCUAGGCCGCAACUGACACUGAGGGACGAAAGCUAGGGGAGCGAAAAAGAUUAGAUACCCCAGUAGUCCUAGCUGUAAACGA